GAAGGAUAAGUUUGGAAUUUUAAAUUUGUUGCCGAAAUAAAACCCUAAACCUAGUAAAUGUUAGACUAUAAAAGAAAUUUUUAUUCUUUUCUCUUUUUCUAUUCGGCUGGAAACGUUUUUAUUCAUAAAGAAGUUUUCAAAUUUCAUCGACGACAAGACCCGUCGACUGCUCGUGUUUCGGAGUCUACGCAGAGUUAGCUAUUUGCCAAGAUUCACGUGGAUAAGCAAGCUGUUUAUGAUUUGAAAGCUGGUCCACUCCGAUUCUUUUGAUUCUUCGGAGGUUUUUAUGUUAUUUAAACUAGUUACUGUUUUCGAACUCUUAGACCGCAGUAGAACUAGUUUAUUAUGUAUUACAUUGAUAUUACACUCUGGGAUUAUCGAUUAUUUAUUAUUAGCAUAUUUA
Molecule: long non-coding RNA, 403 nt
Organism: Mercurialis annua (annual mercury)
Lineage: Eukaryota; Viridiplantae; Streptophyta; Magnoliopsida; Malpighiales; Euphorbiaceae
Exons: 3
Source: RefSeq, a predicted model, not a curated record